Molecule: ribosomal RNA, 434 nt
Filed under: uncultured Lachnospiraceae bacterium
Lineage: Bacteria; Bacillati; Bacillota; Clostridia; Lachnospirales; Lachnospiraceae
Description: partial 16S ribosomal RNA
Rfam family: Bacterial small subunit ribosomal RNA
Source: RNAcentral
ACGGGAGGCAGCAGUGGGGAAUAUUGCACAAUGGGGGAAACCCUGAUGCAGCGACGCCGCGUGAGUGAAGAAGUAUUUCGGUACGUAAAGCUCUAUCAGUAGGGAAGAAAAUGACGGUACCUAACUAAGAAGCCCCGGCUAACUACGUGCCAGCAGCCGCGGUAAUACGUAGGGGGCAAGCGUUAUCCGGAUUUACUGGGUGUAAAGGGAGCGCAGACGGCAAAGCAAGUCUGAUGUGAAAUGCGGGGGCUCAACCCCUGAACUGCAUUGGAAACUGUUUAGCUAGAGUGCAGGAGAGGUAAGUGGAAUUCCUAGUGUAGCGGUGAAAUGCGUAGAUAUUAGGAGGAACACCGGUGGCGAAGGCGGCUUACUGGACUGUAACUGACGUUGAGGCUCGAAAGCGUGGGGAGCAAACAGGAUUAGAUACCCUGGUA